AUCAGUAGCUGGUCUGAGAGGAUGAUCAGCCACAUUGGGACUGAGACACGGCCCAAACUCCUACGGGAGGCAGCAGUGGGGAAUAUUGGACAAUGGGCGCAAGCCUGAUCCAGCCAUGCCGCGUGAGUGAUGAAGGCCCUAGGGUUGUAAAGCUCUUUUGUACGGGAAGAUAAUGACGGUACCGUAAGAAUAAGCCCCGGCUAACUUCGUGCCAGCAGCCGCGGUAAUACGAAGGGGGCUAGCGUUGCUCGGAAUCACUGGGCGUAAAGGGUGCGUAGGCGGGUUUUUAAGUCAGAGGUGAAAUCCUGGAGCUCAACUCCAGAACUGCCUUUGAUACUGGGAAUCUUGAGUAUGGAAGAGGUGAGUGGAACUGCGAGUGUAGAGGUGAAAUUCGUAGAUAUUCGCAAGAACACCAGUGGCGAAGGCGGCUCACUGGUCCAUAACUGACGCUGAGGCACGAAAGCGUGGGGAGCAAA
Molecule: ribosomal RNA, 476 nt
Filed under: Allobosea sp.
Lineage: Bacteria; Pseudomonadati; Pseudomonadota; Alphaproteobacteria; Hyphomicrobiales; Alloboseaceae
Description: bacterial SSU rRNA
Rfam family: Bacterial small subunit ribosomal RNA
Source: RNAcentral